Small nucleolar RNA from Myxocyprinus asiaticus (Chinese sucker), 80 nucleotides. RefSeq annotates it as small nucleolar RNA SNORD72. The record is from RefSeq and is a predicted model, not a curated record. NCBI's taxonomy places the organism in Eukaryota, Metazoa, Chordata, Actinopteri, Cypriniformes, Catostomidae. The transcript has a single exon.
AGCUUACCAGUGAUGUCGAAAAAAUAAAUGUCUGAACAAAUGACUGUACAGUGAUAAAAUGAUUUACUCUGAGGUGAGCC